UUUUUUUUAAGAUUAAUGGCUUGUGGAUUGUCACCACCAAAGUAAAUCCUGUGCUCCUAUAACAUGGGCAGGAAGCUCCCCAGUUCGUUAGAGGAGGAGACCCGAUUCUGGUUAUUUGGGGAUGUAGGUUUAUAGAGUAAAUAAGAUACUGACUUGUGUAGAAAUUUGAGAAAUGAAAACUCUGAUAUUGUCUUUUUUUUUUUUAUUUCGAAUGAAGUGACCUUAGUUGCCAGCUGAGAGGAGGUUUUGAGUUUAAGGUUCACGAAUCCGUAAAGGCUAACAUUGGUUUUUUGUUUUUUUUUUAAAUAUAUUUUUGUUGAGAUUCUCCCCCAUUCAAAAUCAAUCAUUUACAAACUGUCAAAUUUGAUUUAAAAUAUAAAAACUCUUCUUUAGAAUGCCGGGAAAUGAACAGACUGUGGAGACAAAAAGAAAUGGAUAUUUUGUGUAAUUGGACAGGAAAAGAAAGACCAAUUCCCUGAUAUUUAAAAAAAAAAAAGAUCUCUAGGCUUUGAGUUACACUGCUGAGUGUGGACACUUUGGAACGAUGAGAGAAGAACAGUCUGGGGUUCCAGGGGACCUGCUCCCCGUCUCCUGUGCCCUGCAGCGUCACUUGCCAGUGUGGUUAGUACUGUUCUCUCAGUGUGAACUCAGGAGCUGUUUUCAAUUAUGGGUUCUCAACUCUCCUAAACAGAAAAGCUCUCUGAUACCAUCAACUAUCCUGUCUUACUUAUAGUUUUUCAUGAGGACACAUUUGUACAGCAGCUCACCCUCCCUUUUUUUUUGGUAGGAAGAAGUGGUUCUUCUCACCCCCUACCAUAUAAGCAAUUUCAAGCCACUCAAACUCUGUGAAAUGGUAGAAACUUAGGCAAUGGAAGUCAGGAGCUCUUCUCCUGAGACAACAGACCAGCCCGCUUUUGCUAUAACCACUUCUGAAAUAUCUAUCUGUCUUAACUCUCUUGGCUUUCUGCAUUUAACAAAGAAUGCAAAGGCCUUUGCCUAUGUUUCUCAUACAUUACCCCUCUCCUUCUAUGUUUGGGUAACACAUAGGCUUACUACUGGGGGUAGAGUGACACGGCUCACUUUCAGAGGAGGCUUUUUAUUGGUUCCACACAGAAAUCGAUCAUACACAGCAUGAACACGAACAAAAAACAAAAAGCAAACAAACAAACAAACAAAGAAAAAACCCCAACCUGGAGAAGUUUAAGGAGUUAGUGCUCUGGGGAAGUGCCUUGUCUCAGACUUGCGUUAGGAUUAAUAACAUCUUUCUUCCAUGUACAUUUUGUUAGCCAAAUUAAACAGAUGGGCGCUUAAGAAAUAUAGACCUAGUGUUUCACGUUGGAACAAGGAGUUUUUGCAUGUAACAUUUGUGUGUGUGUGUGUUGUUUUUCGAAUCCACAAGAUAUUGAUAAAUUGCUUAUAUUGGAAUGAGGUUAGGAACUAUAUGGUAAAAUGCUGCACCCGCUCAACACUUUAAGUAUAUAUCCUCACCUUUGAAAGGGUUUCAUGUCUCAACUGGGCGAUGACAUACACACAAACGUGAGUAUAUGGUCCAAGUACGACAGUGACUUCACUCAUUCUUGUCUAAGGGGAAGUGAGAUGAGGUAUCCUAAGGGCUUUUAAAGAAUUUUAGCUUCACGAAAUACUUAAAAAAAAAAACCCACUGGAAUGCGGUUUUUGAUUGGGAGUGUUGGGCAGUUUAUCUUUCCUAAUCAGAGGAAUGUGACUUCUCGAUUGCGAGCUGUUCACAGUUCCCAGUAAAAAGUUGAAGCCAUCUACUUUUUCUUAACCCAAGUGAUAAACCGACAGUACUCACUACUUUCUUAAAUUUUUAAAUUGAAAGCCAAUGCAGACUUUUGCAUAUGUAAACCAGAGAAUUUUGGUUACAAAUUGUUGACCUUUGUGGAUCCUUUGUACAUAGUUUGGAUAUAUCUUGAAGGCAAAGCUAUCAAUGAACCAAUGGAGUCAUUGACUAAAGCACAGCUAUGUGCACUUUUGAAUACACAUGACCUUGAAACUUUAUAAAACCCAUUUUUAUGAAUUUCUGCAGUUGAACAGGAAUCAUGCCCUUUUAUAAUUCACGGAUUGUCACAAAGAUCACAUAGACGGAGGAAUAGGAGUUCUGCUUUGCUCUGGCCAAUUACUGUCAGGCCAGUUUCUAUAGAUUUGAAUCCUCCACCAUCGAUAGCCAUUUAUAGGGUUUUAGACAUUUGGGGGUCAAAUAUUGUCUUUUGAAACUUCCCAGAAAGGUAAAGCUCAAAACUCCAUAUGUAUUUCUAUGGCUUGAGUUACCCUUGGUUGUGUGUGGACGUCAUAAAGAGGUCUGCUCAGUUUUUACUUCAGAUCUAGAGCUGAUGUCUUGUUCCAGGUGUUUCCCUUUUUCUUUUUCCUUUGUCUUCCUUCAUCAGAGUGAUCUCACGUUUUGGUGUAUUUAUUGCUGUUACUCUAUUUCUUGAACAGUCUGAAGAUUUGUAAAAUGUUACAAACAGUUCAUUAAGGAUAAUAAAAUCAACCUAAUGUAUA
RNAcentral lists this long non-coding RNA (2520 nucleotides) under Rattus norvegicus (Norway rat). Its description in RNAcentral is "long non-coding RNA NONRATT018319". The record is from RNAcentral. Lineage: Eukaryota; Metazoa; Chordata; Mammalia; Rodentia; Muridae.